Molecule: non-coding RNA, 29 nt
Filed under: Homo sapiens (human)
Lineage: Eukaryota; Metazoa; Chordata; Mammalia; Primates; Hominidae
Source: RNAcentral
UCCCUACUGAGCAGCAUGUUGUGUCUUGA